GACGAACGCUGGCGGCGUGCUUAACACAUGCAAGUCGAACGGAAAGGCCCUGCUUUUGUGGGGUGCUCGAGUGGCGAACGGGUGAGUAACACGUGAGUAACCUUCCCUUGACUUUGGGAUAACUUCAGGAAACUGGGGCUAAUACCGGAUAGGAGCUCCUGCUGCAUGGUGGGGGUUGGAAAGUUUCGGCGGUUGGGGAUGGACUCGCGGCUUAUCAGCUUGUUGGUGGGGUAGUGGCUUACCAAGGCUUUGACGGGUAGCCGGCCUGAGAGGGUGACCGGCCACAUUGGGACAGAGAUACGGCCCAGACUCCUACGGGAGGCAGCAGUGGGGAAUAUUGCACAAUGGGCGGAAGCCUGAUGCAGCAACGCCGCGUGCGGGAUGACGGCCUUCGGGUUGUAAACCGCUUUCGCCUGUGACGAAGCGUGAGUGACGGUAAUGUGUAAAGAAGCACCGGCUAACUACGUG
Molecule: ribosomal RNA, 468 nt
Filed under: uncultured bacterium
Lineage: Bacteria
Description: partial 16S ribosomal RNA
Rfam family: Bacterial small subunit ribosomal RNA
Source: RNAcentral